Molecule: long non-coding RNA, 525 nt
Organism: Vicia villosa (hairy vetch)
Lineage: Eukaryota; Viridiplantae; Streptophyta; Magnoliopsida; Fabales; Fabaceae
Exons: 2
Source: RefSeq, a predicted model, not a curated record
ACUGUCUAUAAAUACACAAAUUCUCAUUUGAGCAACCAACCAAAAUAAGUCUUCAAAGAAUUAUUGCUUUACUCAAUGGCAAACAAGAUGCAUAAAUCCUUCUUGUUCUUUGUCAUCUAUGCCUUCGUUAUUGCAGUACAAUUGAUGCAGGUAGAAGGUAACACACCAUGCACAGUAAUUCUGGCAAGUUGUGCUCAAGUGAAUUGUCAUGAGAAGUGUACCAACUAUCGAGCAGGCUCUGCAGCUACACUUUUAAGAUCCAAUUGUAACUUCUACAACUUAUGCACAUGUGAAUUCGAUAGGCCACCAGUAGGAACAUCAUGCACAGUUGGUAAUGGACUCUGCUCAGAUCAAUGCGGUGAAUCUUGUUGUAAUGUAAAUUGUAAGGCUAGAUAUCCAUCCACAGGUACUGGGGUAUGUGUGCAUAACUAUGAUCUCUAUUUUUGUCAGUGUGUCUACCAACGUUGAGUGUAUUCUGUAUUGGAAUAAAUAAGAUCAAAUUAAAUAAAAUUUUAUUUUAAAUUA